AGUCGUAACAAGGUAUCCGUAGGUGAACCUGCGGAUGGAUCAUUAUAGGUUAUUUUGAAUGUUGUGUGAACAGUGUGGUUGCAGGUUGUGGUGGGUAUGUGAUAUAUUAUAUGAUAUGAUAUAUGUGAUAUAUUAUAUGAUGUAUGUUAUAUGGUAUAUUAUAUAUGAUGUAUGAUAUAUGGUAUCAUCCACCUUGACAACAUUGACGUACAUUAGUGCUGAAUAUCAUUAUAUUGAAAUAUAAACAACUUUCAGCAAUGGAUCUCUUGGCUCUC
RNAcentral lists this unclassified non-coding RNA (275 nucleotides) under fungal sp. Its description in RNAcentral is "partial internal transcribed spacer region". The stretch from base 1 to 45 matches the Rfam family "Eukaryotic small subunit ribosomal RNA", at positions 1787 to 1831 of the family's 1831-position model. Lineage: Eukaryota; Fungi. The record is from RNAcentral.